Molecule: ribosomal RNA, 274 nt
Filed under: uncultured bacterium
Lineage: Bacteria
Description: partial 16S ribosomal RNA
Rfam family: Bacterial small subunit ribosomal RNA
Source: RNAcentral
CUACGGGGGGUGCAAGCGUUAAUCGGAAUUACUGGGCGUAAAGCGCGCGUAGGCGGUUUGCUCAGUCGGAUGUGAAAGCCCAGGGCUCAACCUUGGAACUGCAUACGAUACUGGCAAACUAGAGUGUGAGAGAGGAUAGUGGAAUUUCCGGUGUAGCGGUGAAAUGCGUAGAUAUCGGAAGGAACAUCAGUGGCGAAGGCGACUGUCUGGCUCAACACUGACGCUGAGGUGCGAAAGCGUGGGUAGCAAACGGGAUUAGAAACCCUAGUAGUCC